UACAGAGACUGCGAGCGUUGUUCGGAUUCACUGGGCGUAAAGGGUGCGUAGGCGGUCGGGUAAGUCUGAUGUGAAAUCUCACAGCUUAACUGUGAAACUGCAUUGGAUACUAUCCGGCUCGAGGAAUGGAGGGGAGACUGGAAUACUUGGUGUAGCAGUGAAAUGCGUAGAUAUCAAGUGGAACACCAGUGGCGAAGGCGAGUCUCUGGACAUUUCCUGACGCUGAGGCACGAAAGCCAGGGGAGCAAACGGG
This 253-nucleotide ribosomal RNA is filed under the name uncultured bacterium. Its description in RNAcentral is "partial 16S ribosomal RNA". It matches the Rfam family "Bacterial small subunit ribosomal RNA", at positions 524 to 776 of the family's 1533-position model. The record is from RNAcentral.